CUGGCGCACCCAUACCGAGCAGCGGUCCUGAGGGCCAUGGAGAGGGUCCUGAGCAGUCACGCCAGUGAGCUGGACAAGGACACAGCCAGCACCAUCAUCCUCCUGGCCUCCAGCGAGAUGACCAAGACGAAGGACCUGGUCUGGGACUGGCAGCAGGCGGCGAGUGGCGUCCUGGUGGCCGUGGGAAGACAGUUCAUCAGCAAGGUGAUGGAGGAGCUGCUGCGCAGGCUGCACCCUGGGACCCUGCCACACUGCGCCGUGCUGCACACCCUCGCCAGCCUCUCGGUGGCCAACGCGUUCGGCGUAGUCCCCUUCCUGCCAUCCGUCCUGAGCUCCCUGCUGCCCGUGCUGGGCGUGGCCAAGCAGGACACGGUGCGCGUGGCGUUCUGCUCCGCUCUGCAGCGCUUCAGCGAGGGUGCCCUGGAGUACCUAGCCAACCUGGACCGAGCCCCAGACCCCACGGUCAGGAAGGACGCCUUUGCCACCGACAUCUUCAGCGCCUACGAUGUUCUCUUCCAUCAGUGGCUGCAGAGUCGAGAAGCCAAGCUCCGUCUUGCCGUGGUGGAGGCUCUGGGGCCUAUGAGCCAUCUGCUGCCCAGUGAGAGGCUGGAAGAGCAGCUGCCCAAGCUCCUCCCUGGGAUUCUCGCCCUCUACAAGAAGCACGCAGAGACCUUCUACUUGUCCAAGAGCCUGGGCCAGAUCCUCGAGGCAGCUGUGAGUGUGGGCAGCCGCACACUGGAGACCCAGCUGGAUGCCCUCUUGGCUGCACUGCACUCCCAGAUCUGUGUGCCUGUGGAGUCCUCAAGCCCCCUGGUGAUGAGUAACCAGAAGGAGGUGCUGCGCUGCUUCACUGUGCUGGCCUGCAGCUCGCCUGACCGCCUACUGGCCUUCCUGCUGCCCAGGCUGGACACCAGCAAUGAGAGGACCCGCGUGGGCACCCUGCAGGUGGUCAGACAUGUCAUCAACUCGGCUGGUGAGUGCCUCCAUGCUAGCCUGGCCGCCACCCCUGGCCAUGUCCAGGAUGGAGCAGGUCCUGGCAGAUUGUGUCCCUCUAAGUGAAAACACCAUCCUGCUUUGAAUUCUCUAGAAAGAUUUCCCUACUUACUAUUUUGCAAAAUUCUAAACUUUUUGAAAAGUUGCAAGGGUGGUACCUUUCUACCCUUCGCCAUAUGUUGGUGGCUCACACUUGCUUUGACAGCUGGCUGCA
This 1207-nucleotide small RNA is filed under the name Pan troglodytes (chimpanzee). RNAcentral's name for it is "retained intron". The record is from RNAcentral. Lineage: Eukaryota; Metazoa; Chordata; Mammalia; Primates; Hominidae.